Molecule: long non-coding RNA, 1068 nt
Organism: Stegodyphus dumicola
Lineage: Eukaryota; Metazoa; Arthropoda; Arachnida; Araneae; Eresidae
Source: RefSeq, a predicted model, not a curated record
UGGUAAGAUUAAUUUGAAGUUUUUGUACAAUUUGGAAGGAAAGGGGAAAAGAGUUUUAAUUGACUGGUGUGUAAAUGAGGGUUUACUUGUAUAUAAUUAGUGUCCUGUUUGUAGGAAGGAAAUACGUACGGUUGAACGUCGAAGGAUACCGGCAAUACGGAGGAUAAUUUUGACUCUUAUUUUUGUGAAUUUAUGUGGCGUCGCCAGUAUACAGAUUCUAGUUUAGAUAAUGUUAAGAAGUUUUUGGAAGAUUAAGGAAUUUUGUUUGACUGAAGAAAGGGAAAUUUCUAAGUAAAAUACUUUACUUUUCCUCCACACGAUGAGAUUUCGAGAGAAAGAAGAUGCCGGGCAAAUUAUCCAUAAAACAGAUUGUCGGUCAAACACUUGAACAAAAAUUGGGGUACAAACUGGGGUGAUAAUGGAUACAUCAAAAUGGUCAGCAACAAAAACAAUCAAUAUAAAAUUGCAGCAAAGACCAGUUUCCCAAGAAUGUGAUUGUCGUCUGAAUAAGAAUAAUUUGAAAAUAAAUUUUAUCUACAUUAGCCUUCCUGAAAUCUUUAUAAGAAACUCCCAUUUACCAUGAAAAAUAAAAUAUCUACUAUACCUUCAAAGUUUUAUAUACUUUUAUUUUAAAGUGGAUCAACUUUGUGCAGAGGCAAUUUCUUAGGUUUAUUAAAGAUUUUUUAUCAGCAGAAAAUGAGUUUCGAUAGGUGGCUAUUGCCUAAGCUACAUAAAAGAAUGUGCUGUCAAUUUAAUGAAUUUGUGAAUAUUUGUAUAAGACAUCGUUUCUUUUUAAUAGUUUUGUGAAUGAACUCAACCUUGUACUCAACAUUGCUGCCAGGGAAAAAAAAAAAAAAAAAAAAAAUACGCAUAAAAGGAAAAUAAAUUGCUCUUAAUGACUUUCUAUGGGACAUAUUGACAUAAUCAAAUAUUGUUCCAAUAGAAAUUUUAAUUUAGAAAAAAUAUAAAUGCUUACAUACAAAAGUUUACAAAUCUUUUAACGAAACUUUGAAAGUGAAAAUAAGCAAUUCAAUUUAUGUUGAACACUAGAUAGCAGCACGAGGAAGU